AGUGAACGCUGGCGGUAGGCCUAACACAUGCAAGUCGAACGGCAGCACAGUAAGAGCUUGCUCUUACGGGUGGCGAGUGGCGGACGGGUGAGGAAUACAUCGGAAUCUACUUUUUCGUGGGGGAUAAUGUAGGGAAACUUACGCUAAUACCGCAUACGACCUACGGGUGAAAGCAGGGGAUCUUCGGACCUUGCGCGAUUGAAUGAGCCGAUGUUGGAUUAGCUAGUUGGCGGGGUAAAGGCCCACCAAGGCGACGAUCCGUAGCUGGUCUGAGAGGAUGAUCAGCCACACUGGAACUGAGACACGGUCCAGACUCCUACGGGAGGCGGCAGUGGGGAAUAUUGGACAAUGGGCGCAAGCCUGAUCCAGCCAUACCGCGUGGGUGAAGAAGGCCUUCGGGUUGUAAAGCCCUUUUGUUGGGAAAGAAAAGCAGCAGGUUAAUACCCCGCUGUUCUGACGGUACCCAAAGAAUAAGCACCGGCUAACUUCGUG
This 492-nucleotide ribosomal RNA is filed under the name uncultured bacterium. Its description in RNAcentral is "partial 16S ribosomal RNA". It matches the Rfam family "Bacterial small subunit ribosomal RNA", at positions 29 to 507 of the family's 1533-position model. The record is from RNAcentral.